AUGUCAAAAAUGAGCAACCUAAAAGCAAAACCAGAAUUUGUGUGCACUCUGCCAAAAAGUGCACUGGACAAGCUUAUUCAGGUUAGGAAAGCCUUCCAAAACACUCUCUCUGAAAAUCAACUUUUAAAAGAGGGUACAAAGACAGCCAGACAGCAAAUCAAACAGCUGAUGGCCCAAAUUUCACUGGUGCGUGCCAAGCUGGACCAGUAUGAGAUCCAAGCUGGAAAACUCACUGAUGAAUCAGUGACACGCAAAGUGGAAAUGAGCAGCGCCACCAAAGAAAAAGGGGAUCAGACUUACUCAGGUCAGACCAUCACCUUUGACCUUGAGAUGAACCGUCUGAAACAGCAGCUUCAGCAGAGGGACAGCGAAAUCCUGAUCCUCAAACAGGAGAAGGACAGUCUGUCUGCCGAAUUUGCACAGCUUCAGACACACGAGAAACCAACAUUUGUGUGCACUCUGCCAAAGAGUACACUGGACGACCUUAUUCAGGUUAGGAAAGCCUUCCUAAAAGCUCUGUCUGAAAAUAAACUUUUAAAAGAGGAUUCAAAGACAGCCAGACAGCAAGUCAAACAGCUGAUGGCACAAAUUUCAAUGAUGCGUACCAAGCUGGACCAAUAUAAGAUCCAAGCUGGAGAAGAAAGAGAGGAUCAGACUUGUUCAGAUCAGGCAAAGAUCACAACCUUUGACCUUGAGAUGAACUGUCUGAAAGAGCAGCUUCGGCAGAGGGACAGCGAAAUCCUGAUCCUGAAACAGGAGAAGGAAAGUCUGUCUGCUGAGCUCGGACAGCUGCAGAAACACGAGGCCUCUCUGAAAGAAACUCUGUGGAAUGAGAAAACACACAGAGAGAAUCUGGAGCAGGAGAAGAAAGUCCAGCAGGAAGAAAAUAAGAAAGUCCUGGGAGAGCAGAAAGUGGUGAAGGACACAGAAGACAUGCAGAAAAAACUGGACGAGCAGACCAAAGAAUUAGCGGAGGCAAAGACAGAGGCAGUAGAGACGGCAACCCCAGAGUCGUCCUCAUCAAAGGCUGAAAUAUCAACACUGGAGAAAACACAGAAAGUGGUGAAGGACACAAAAGAAAUGCAGAAAAAACUGGACGAGCAGACCAAAGAAUUAGCGGAGGCAAAGACAGAGGCAGUAGAGACGGCAACCCCAGAGUCGUCCUCAUCAAAGGCUGAAAUAUCAACACUGGAGAAAACACAGAAAAUGGAGGAAAAGUUGUGUGUCAACAGACUGAUCCAGUUGGUGGUUUCAAAGGCCAUAGAAAAAGUCUCCUCUAAAUACAAGCUCUUCACAGAGCGCCUCACUCCUGACUGCAUCAGCGAUCGCCUGAUUCAGAAAAUCUGGCCUGAAAUCGAGCUGAAACAUUUGGAUCUGUCCCCAAAACAGCUGAAAAAUCUUGACAAGGCCAUUCUCAAGGAUCUAUGCAUAGCACACAGCUGCAAGGACAAACAUUUGAUUAUGAAGCUGAGGGAACAGCUUGAUAAUAUUACUGUCCCAGCCUUCACCAAAAAGCUGCUGUCAUUACCAAGAAGAGUCCUCAGUGUCUCUAAACACAGAGAAGAGUACAAGGAAGUGGUGAAACACGUCACUCAAGCUCUGGUAAUGCACGCUAUGAGCCAAGAAAAUGAGACGACAACAUGGCGUCCAGGAACAUCAGAUUUUAUUAUACAGAGGCUUUCCCACAAGAUCUGGAACAAAAUUCUGUCCAAAAACUACAAAAUGUCCUUGGAGAACAUUGAACAACUCGCCCUGUCAGUAUACAACGAACUCCAUGACAGGUGGGAUUCUCCAGGACUCUUAAUGAAGUCGAGCAACCCAGUGGUUGACGAAGCAAUCGUCAAAACCUUCAAAACACAUGCCAAACUGAGGAGCCGAAACAUCAUCUUUAGGGCUUUCUCGUGUGCACGCUAA
Molecule: long non-coding RNA, 1914 nt
Filed under: Oreochromis niloticus (Nile tilapia)
Lineage: Eukaryota; Metazoa; Chordata; Actinopteri; Cichliformes; Cichlidae
Description: lncRNA (ENSONIG00000035521.1)
Source: RNAcentral